GACGAACGCUGGCGGCGUGCUUAACACAUGCAAGUCGAACGCUGAAGCACCAGCUUGCUGGUGUGGAUGAGUGGCGAACGGGUGAGUAAUACGUGAGUAACCUGCCCUUGACUCUGGGAUAAGCCCGGGAAACUGGGUCUAAUACUGGAUGCUACAUGUCACCGCAUGGUGGUGUGUGGAAAGGGUUUACUGGUCUUGGAUGGGCUCACGGCCUAUCAGCUUGUUGGUGAGGUAAUGGCUCACCAAGGCGACGACGGGUAGCCGGCCUGAGAGGGUGAACGGCCACACUGGGACUGAGACACGGCCCAGACUCCUACGGGAGGCAGCAGUGGGGAAUAUUGCACAAUGGGCGAAAGCCUGAUGCAGCGACGCCGCGUGAGGGAUGACGGCCUUCGGGUUGUAAACCUCUUUCAGCAGGGAAGAAGCCACAAGUGACGGUACCUGCAGAAGAAGCGCCGGCUAACUACGUGCCAGCAGCCGCCUGUAA
This 487-nucleotide ribosomal RNA is filed under the name uncultured bacterium. RNAcentral's name for it is "partial 16S ribosomal RNA". It matches the Rfam family "Bacterial small subunit ribosomal RNA", at positions 28 to 523 of the family's 1533-position model. The record is from RNAcentral.